Molecule: long non-coding RNA, 4316 nt
Organism: Mobula hypostoma (lesser devil ray)
Lineage: Eukaryota; Metazoa; Chordata; Chondrichthyes; Myliobatiformes; Myliobatidae
Exons: 3
Source: RefSeq, a predicted model, not a curated record
CUUCGCAUGCUGACAUCUGAAUGGUGCCACAUCGCAGGCAGUACCUGUGGAUGCAAGUUUAAAGUCCAAGGCCUUUCAAAGUUUUGAGAAUUUUAAAACGCAGAUUAAGUGAGGGCACAUUAAGCAAAGGUUUUUCACUCAGCCUUGCUACAUUGACGAAUAAACCUGUACCGGUAACUGCGGGUCAAGUAGCAUCAGCGAGGAGAGAAACGGCGUCAACCUUCCUGGGAACUAUCACAUCAGGUCACUUCUGUGUUCCACAAUCCUAUUCACUGAUUGAGACCUGCUGACGAGGAAGUUAAGUUUCUAGUUGCAGAGGGAGGUACAGAGGUUCAGGUCUUGAAGGCUGAUGAUGAGUUUGGAUUAGAUGAUUAUGUUGAAUACCAAGAUAUAGUUGAUGAAGAAUUCCUGAUGUCCAGAUGCCCCAGGGCAGAUGGUAGGCAAUAUCGAGGUAAUUUCUGAGGCAGGAAUUCAUUUGUGCCAUAACCAACCUCUCAAAGCACUUCCUUAUGGUUGGUGUAAGGACAAACAGACGUUCGUCAUUGUGGCUGGUCACCACACUCUUCUAGGCACUGAUACAAUAUCUGCCUUUUUGAAGCAGAUGAGAACGUCAAACUGCAGAAACGAGUGGUUGAAUAUGUCAAUAAAUAUUCCAGCCAGAUCUUUAAUAUUUGACCAUGUAUGCCUCUGGACCAGACAGUUUUCGAGGAUUUGCCCUCUUGAAGGAUACACUGAUGUCAGCUUCAGAAAGAGAGAGAUAACAUGAUUAUCGGGAGAUUCGGGAGGUUGUGUGCGUGUGUCAUAGUUCUCUCCAUCAAAGCAUGCAUAAAAGACAUUGAGCACGUCCAGUAAUGAUGGACCAUAGCCAUUUAUGCUAAUUUUGCCUCUAGGAAGUAAUAUUGCAUAAGCCCCAUUGAGCAUCAAGCUGUGAUUCCAAGCUAGUCUGAAAUUGCCUCUUUGCACUCAUAUUGACCUUCCAGAUUACGAAUCUCAAAGUACAUCUAGGGCUUCUGGUUGUGGAAGAAUCUGAAAAUCCUUAAGACCAUAAAACAUAGGAGCAGAAUUAGGCUAUUUGGCGGAUUGGGUCUGCUCCACCAUUUCAUCAUGGCUGAUCCAUUUCCUCUCAGCCCCAUUCUCUUGCCUUCUCCCUAUAAUUUUUUAUGCCUUGACUAAGACUCUAUCAAGCUCUGCCUUAAAUAUAUCCAAUGACCUGGACUCCACAGCCACCUGUAGCAACAAAUUCCGCAGAUUCAUAGUCAUCGGGCUAAAGAUAUUCCUCCUCAUCUCCAUUCUAAAUGGACGUCCUUCUAUUCUGAGGCUGUGACCUCUAGUCCUAGACACUCCCACCAUAGGAAACGCCCCCUCCACAUCCACUCUAUCUAGGCAUUCGAUAUGUUUCAGUGAGACUCCCCCUCAUUCUUCUCAAUUCUAGCGAGUAAAGGCCCAGAGCCACCAAUCGCUCCUGAUGUGAUAACCCUUUCAUUCCUGGAAUCAUUCUUGUGAACCUCCUCCGAACACCCUCCACUGUCAGCACAUCCUUUCUUAAAUAAGGGGCUUAAAACUGCUCGCAAUACUCCAAAUGAGGCCUCAUCAGUGCCUUAUAAAGCCUCAGCAUUACAUCCUUGCUUUUACAUUCUAGUCCUUUCAAAAUGAAUGCUAACAUUACAAUAGCCUUCCUCACCACUGACUCAACAUGCAAGUUAAUCUUAUUCCUUUGCACCUCUGAUUUUUGAAUUUUCUCCCUAUUUAGAAAAUAGUCCACCCCUUUAUUUCUUCUGCCAAAGUACAUUACCAUGUACUUCCCUACAUUAAAUUCCAUCUGCCACUUCUUUGCCUAUUCCCCCAAUCUGUCCUUUUGCAGACACCCUGCUCCUUCAACACUACCUGCCACCCCAUGUAUCUCUGUCCUUUCAAUACAACGUGUGUCCUUGAAUGUUAAGCUCCCAAUUAUGAUCUUACAGCCUUGACUCAGUGAUGCCCACAACAUCAUAGAGGAGGAGAAGAUGGCGGCGCAACGGCAGCGCGCACGGCCUCUCCGGUGAUGAACAUCUGUUAUCUGUCAAGUAAGGGACUGUGCACAAUUCUGAUUUGAUGGAGACAGACGUGAGAGUACGGAGGAACAUCUGGAGAAACUUCUGAAAUGCCCGCUUCGCUGCUGCUGCUACUGUGUGGUCCGGAAUCUCUGGAGCAGAAGGCCCCGAAAUCCUCGGCUUUGCUUGUUUCAGCGGCCGGGGCGAGGUCGAAGGCUCGAAGUUUUUGGACAGAUGGACUCAGUGUCGGCUGUGGUCGGCUGCUUCCAAGGCAUCGGCAAGUUGACGGUGCCUGGAGGUUUAUGGCAGGGAGUUUCUCCCUUUUGCCGCCUGCUAUCAGGGACUCGGGAGUCGAUCGACUCGGGGACUUUUGAGACUUUUUUUACCGUGCCCAUGGUUUGUUCUUCAUCAAGUUAUGGUAUUGCUUUGCACUGCUGUAACUAUAUGUUAUAAUUAUGUGGUUCUGUCAGUGUUAGUCUUUGGUUUGUCCUGUUUUCUGUGAUAUCACUCCAGAGAAACAUUGUAUCAUUUCUUAAUGCAUGCAUGCAUUUCUAAAUGACAAUAAAAGAGGACUGAGUGUUCUCAUAAUCUAAUCUAACCUAAUCAUACCUGUCAAUCUCUAACUGCACUACAAGAUCAUCUACCUUAUUCCAUAUACUGCAUAGAUUCAAUCAUAAUACCUUCAGUCCUGUUUUCAUCACCCUUUUUGAUUUUGGCUUGCUGUUAAACCUUAACCCAUCCCACUGACUGCAAUUUUGCCCCAUCAUCUGCCUAUCCUUCCUCACAUCUCAAUACACACUGCAUCUAGUUGUAUACCAACUGCUCCAUCCUCAGCCCUGUCUACUGUUGUUGCAAAGCAAGUAUGUAUUACAACAAGCAGUGAAAGGGGUAUUCAGUUCAAGAAAUGUAUGUCCAGAGGUUAGACAGCUGGGUAUGCAACCCUGAGGGUGGUCUCGACAGCUAAAGAGAUAAAAUGCAGAGGAUUGCAUUGUCAAAGAGACUAAAUGUUGUAGAGAAAGUAAGGAGGGGUAAUGCACCAUGGUCUUACUGAUAAGAGAAUGACAUUCAUAAUUCUGGCAAAACCUAUUAUAGUGCCAUGGAAACCAGAAUGAAUUUGGGAGAGAUAAGUAUGGAGCUGAAAAGCAAGUGCUAUCCAAGGCAUUGGAAAAGAAAAGUUAGCUGAAAAUAUGACUGGAGCUGUAAAUGAUGGCUAGCUGGCAGAUAAGUUUAGUAUAGUGAAAGGUAAUGAUUACCAAAGGAACAUGAUUUUUCAACAUUUAUAUUUGUAACAAAAAUAUAAUUUGGAGUAUAAAUUACUGCAUAAAUUCUAGAUUAGGUAAUAUUAUAAUGUCUAAAAAUAUUAACAUUAGGAAUCCUCACAAAUAUCAUAUUACCAAGUUUUUCCCAGUAAUUAAAAGUGUGAACCUGACUGUACAUACUUACUUAGAAAGGUAAAUGAUUUAUAUUGCAUUUCUUUGCUUUAAAUAGGUAUAAUUUAUCAACUAUAAAUUGCUGUGUAUUUGAUAUAUCUAUGCACCUAAAAGCCAUAUUCGUCUUACGUAAACAUAGGGUUUGAAAUAAAAUAGUUUCUCCAUUAUAAGGAAACAUAUUGCUCCCUUUAAUUAUUUUCUUAAGAACAUUGCAACAUCUGAAAAUAGUCAUGAAUCUGCAGUGCACAAUGCUUCUCUUUCGAUUAUAGCUCAGCUAGGGCAGUCUUUCCACUUCCCCUUUCAAGACAGAACCAAACUAUUUUUUGAUUAGGAAGGUCAUCAGGGAUGCGUGGUAUUCCUGCUGCCUUGAAGGAGCCCACCAAUUUGUACCCAAGGCUAGGAGGAGGACGAUCUUGCUUAACUGGAAGGAGAUUGCCCCCCACUACACAUGCUCAAUGGUUAUGCGAUCUUAUGUCGUGCUUAAAUGUAGAGAAGAUUUGUUGUUCGAUUUCUGAUUCUAGUCAAGAUUUUCAAACGCUGUGGGGACCCUUUUUGAACUAUUUUGAAAAUCUUUGAAUUGUUAUUGUUAUUAAAAUAUAGAUCUGGGCUAUUAUUAUAAAACACUGUAUGGUAAAGUACACUUUUUUUUCUUUUGUGUUUUUCUACCAACCAGCUUUGUCUUGGUAGUGGGUGUAGAUUUUUUUUACAAUAUAAUUAAGAAUAUUAUUGUAUUUCAUAAUUCAAUUUAUUUUAUCUGAUUGAUUAUGAAUAUGGGAUACUGUGAUUGUAUCAGUGUGAUUUAUAUAUAGUGCAUUUUGUGCUACCUUAUUUUGAUUUAUAAUAAGUAUCCUUAUGA